GGGGGUAUAGCUCAGUUGGUAGAGCGGCGGUCUCCAAAACCGUAGGUCGCGGGUUCAAGUCCUGCUGCCCCCGCCA
This 76-nucleotide transfer RNA is filed under the name Trueperaceae bacterium. Its description in RNAcentral is "tRNA-Trp". It matches the Rfam family "tRNA". From Rfam's summary of the family: Transfer RNA (tRNA) molecules are approximately 80 nucleotides in length. The record is from RNAcentral. RNAcentral also lists the same sequence under 2 other names. Lineage: Bacteria; Thermotogati; Deinococcota; Deinococci; Trueperales; Trueperaceae.